This 433-nucleotide ribosomal RNA is filed under the name uncultured bacterium. Its description in RNAcentral is "partial 16S ribosomal RNA". It matches the Rfam family "Bacterial small subunit ribosomal RNA", at positions 29 to 507 of the family's 1533-position model. The record is from RNAcentral.
AGCGAACGCUGGCGGCAGGCUUAACACAUGCAAGUCGAGCGGGCACUUCGGUGUCAGCGGCAGACGGGUGAGUAACACGUGGGAACGUACCCUUCGGUUCGGAAUAACGCUGGGAAACUAGCGCUAAUACCGGAUACGCCCUUUUGGGGAAAGGUUUACUGCCGAAGGAUCGGCCCGCUUCUGAUUAGCUAGUUGGUGGGGUAAUGGCCUACCAAGGCGACGAGCAGUAGCUGGUCUGAGAGGAUGAUCAGCCACACUGGGACUGAGACACGGCCCAGAAUCCUACGGGAGGCAGCAGUGGGGAAUAUUGGACAAUGGGCGCAAGCCUGAUCCAGCCAUGCCGCGUGAGUGAUGAAGGCCUUAGGGUUGUAAAGCUCUUUUGUCCGGGACGAUAAUGACGGUACCGGAAGAAUAAGCCCCGGCUAACUUCGUG